This 253-nucleotide ribosomal RNA is filed under the name uncultured bacterium. RNAcentral describes it as "partial 16S ribosomal RNA". It matches the Rfam family "Bacterial small subunit ribosomal RNA", at positions 524 to 776 of the family's 1533-position model. The record is from RNAcentral.
UACGUACUGCGCGAACGUUAUUCGGAAUCACUGGGCUUACAGGGUGCGUAGGCGGCUUUUCAGGUCUGGUGUGAAAUCCCCCGGCUCAACCGGGGAAUGGCAUUGGAAACCGAAAAGCUCGAGGUAGCUAGAGGCAUGCGGAACUUCCGGUGGAGCGGUGAAAUGUGUUGAGAUCGGAAGGAACACCAGAGGCGAAGGCGGCAUGCUGGGGCUAUUCUGACGCUGAGGCACGAAAGCCAGGGGAGCGAACGGG